This 441-nucleotide ribosomal RNA is filed under the name uncultured bacterium. Its description in RNAcentral is "partial 16S ribosomal RNA". It matches the Rfam family "Bacterial small subunit ribosomal RNA", at positions 338 to 795 of the family's 1533-position model. The record is from RNAcentral.
CCUACGGGUGGCAGCAGUGGGGGAUAUUGCACAAUGGGGGGAACCCUGAUGCAGCGACGCCGCGUGGGGGAAGGAGUGCUUCGGCAUGUAAAGCCCUAUCGGCAGGGAAGAAGCAAGACGGUACCUGACUAAGAAGCCCCGGCUAACUACGUGCCAGCAGCCGCGGUAAGACGUAGGGGGCGAGCGUUAUCCGGAUUCACGGGGUGUAAAGGGAGCGUAGGCGGCCAAGCAAGCCAGGGGUGAAAGCCCGGGGCUCAACCCCGGGACUGCCGUUGGAACUGGAUGGCUUGAGUGCGGUAGGGGCAGGCGGAAUGCCUGGUGUAGCGGUGAAAUGCGUAGAUAUCAGGAAGAACCCCGGCGGCGAAGGCGGCCUGCUGGACCGCGACUGACGUUGAGGCUCGAAAGCGUGGGGAGCGAACAGGAUUAGAUACCCCUGUAGUC